This 515-nucleotide ribosomal RNA is filed under the name uncultured bacterium. Its description in RNAcentral is "partial 16S ribosomal RNA". It matches the Rfam family "Bacterial small subunit ribosomal RNA", at positions 28 to 523 of the family's 1533-position model. The record is from RNAcentral.
GAUGAACGCUGGCGGCGUGCCUAAUACAUGCAAGUCGAGCGAAUGGAUUAAGAGCUUGCUCUUAUGAAGUUAGCGGCGGACGGGUGAGUAACACGUGGGUAACCUGCCCAUAAGACUGGGAUAACUCCGGGAAACCGGGGCUAAUACCGGAUAACAUUUUGAACCGCAUGGUUCGAACUUGAAAGGCGGCUUCGGCUGUCACUUAUGGAUGGACCCGCGUCGCAUUAGCUAGUUGGUGAGGUAACGGCUCACCAAGGCAACGAUGCGUAGCCGACCUGAGAGGGUGAUCGGCCACACUGGGACUGAGACACGGCCCAGACUCCUACGGGAGGCAGCAGUAGGGAAGCGUCCGCAAUGGACGAAAGGCUGACGGAGCAACGCCGCGUGAGUGAUGAAGGCUUUCGGGUCGUAAAACUCUGUUGUUAGGGAAGAACAAGUGCUAGUUGAAUAAGCUGGCACCUUGACGGUACCUAACCAGAAAGCCACGGCUAACUACGUGCCAGCCGCCGCAGUAA